GGCGAACGCUGGCGGCAGGCCUAACACAUGCAAGUCGAACGGACCCUUCGGGGUUAGUGGCGGACGGGUGAGUAACACGUGGGAACGUGCCUUUAGGUUCGGAAUAGCUCCUGGAAACGGGUGGUAAUACCGAAUGUGCCCUUCGGGGGAAAGAUUUAUCGCCUUUAGAGCGGCCCGCGUCUGAUUAGCUUGUUGGUGAG
RNAcentral lists this ribosomal RNA (200 nucleotides) under uncultured bacterium. Its description in RNAcentral is "partial 16S ribosomal RNA". It matches the Rfam family "Bacterial small subunit ribosomal RNA", at positions 28 to 256 of the family's 1533-position model. The record is from RNAcentral.